RNAcentral lists this ribosomal RNA (484 nucleotides) under uncultured bacterium. Its description in RNAcentral is "partial 16S ribosomal RNA". It matches the Rfam family "Bacterial small subunit ribosomal RNA", at positions 28 to 523 of the family's 1533-position model. The record is from RNAcentral.
GACGAACGCUGGCGGCGUGCUUAACACAUGCAAGUCGAACGAUGAAGCCGGAGCUUGCUCUGGUGAAUUAGUGGCGAACGGGUGAGUAACACGUGAGUAACCUGCCCUUGACUCUGGGAUAACUGCGGGAAACUGUAGCUAAUACCGGAUACGACCCUCGGAGGCAUCUCCCGGGGGUGGAAAGAAUUUCGGUCAAGGAUGGACUAGCGGCCUAUCAGCUAGUUGGUGAGGUAAAGGCUCACCAAGGCGACGACGGGUAGCCGGCCUGAGAGGGUGACCGGCCACACUGGGACUGAGACACGGCCCAGACUCCUACGGGAGGCAGCAGUGGGGAAUAUUGCACAAUGGGCGCAAGCCUGAUGCAGCAACGCCGCGUGAGGGAUGACGGCCUUCGGGUUGUAAACCUCCUUUAGCAGGGAAGAAGCGAAAGUGACGGUACCUGCAGAAAAAGCACCGGCUAACUACGUGCCAGCAGCCGCGGUAA